RNAcentral lists this non-coding RNA (29 nucleotides) under Rattus norvegicus (Norway rat). The record is from RNAcentral. Lineage: Eukaryota; Metazoa; Chordata; Mammalia; Rodentia; Muridae.
UCACUCAUGUGUCCUUGGGCCUUGCUUUU